Molecule: long non-coding RNA, 1030 nt
Filed under: Trifolium pratense (red clover)
Lineage: Eukaryota; Viridiplantae; Streptophyta; Magnoliopsida; Fabales; Fabaceae
Description: long non-coding RNA (TPRA_LNC001493)
Source: RNAcentral
UUGUUGGAAAUUACUGUUUUGCCAUCACUUGUUGUGACCUUGAAAGAUAGGGUUUGGCCAUUAAGGUAAUUGUUGCUUUGCCAAUUUUGCCCCCAGUUUCUUGACAUUGGCAUCCACCCUGUUCUUGAUCCUUUAAUAGCCACUGAAUGUACAUCUCCAGCACCUCCCACGUUUGUUACUAGAACUAAAUUGAAGUAGGAAUGUCCAUUGAUUGUGAACCUAAUUCCUCCCCUUCUUCUGCAGGGUACCCUACAUAAAUCCACAAAAAAGUAAAUUAAUUAUUUUUAAUAAACACCAGAAUUAAAUUGCCUACAACUUAGUUAUUCCUUCUGUUUCUUUCUAUGUGUCCUUUUUUAUUUUUUGUAAAAAAUAUUUUAUUUUUUGAAAUUGUUUUUUAAUUUUUCUAUUGUUAAUUUCAAAGUUUAAAACAAUAUUAAUUAUUAUUUUAUAAAAAUUAUGUUUUUAGAGAUCUGCAAUGAUAUAAUUAACAUUUAACAGUUAAGAGUAAGAUUAAGAAAUUCAUCAAACAAAUAUAAAAAAAAUUAACUAAUAAUAUUACCAAAAAAAAUAACCUUAAAAGUUAAAACAGUAACUAAAAAUAAUAAAAGGAGUAAUUUCAUGAAUCAACAACCCAUUUAGCAAAAAAAACAGCAUUUUCACACUAAAAUUACCAACUCCAAAAGGAACCCCACUUACUACCUAGAUAAAGUUAAAAUCUAAGAAACUACCAUGUAACUAAAAACAUAAAAAAUAGUUAGGAAACUUCCAAAACCAUGUGAUUUAAAAAUAGAAAUAAAAAAACCUAUUUUACAAUCUGAAAGUGACAAGGAGAGCAAGCAGCCCAAUAUACAAAUCAAAUUCAAAAGUACAACAAAAAAAAUUAAAAAAUUAUAAAAAUAAAAAUAAAAUAAAAAAGUUACCUUCUGUAAGAAACAGGAACAAUUCCAGCUUUGUAUUGAGCAAUUCUCAGAAAAACAGGUUGAGCAAGAUCAAAGUGAUGCAAAGGAGGGUUACACCACCCACCAUUAUU